CCUUACUGGUAGAAGUUAAACUUAAACCUAAAAUGAGAACCAUGAUCACGACAAAUUCAAGGGAAAGGAAGAGAACCAGCGCCACCACCAGGACCACCGAGUCCACCACCGGUGCCCACUCCACUGCCUAUGCCGCCUAGGGUUCCGAGACCACCGGUGCCACCCAAGCCACCCAAGCUGCCGAGCCCUCCUGUCCCACCUAGUCCACCUGCACUACCGAUUCCUCCGCCAAGUCCGCUGACUCCACCUAGUCCACCAAAUGGCAGUCCAGAACCACCUAGUCCUGCAACACCACCGACUCCGCCGAAGCCACCGAGCCCGCCAAAGCCGACGAUAUUCUUUUGGUCAUCGAGACCAGCAUCACUAGGCACAGUCCUUGCAGUGGUGUGAACCACUGCUACGGCAAGCACUGCCAUGAUAAACCACUUUGCCAUCUCUCUCUUUUCUCACUUACUAACUCAC
This 462-nucleotide long non-coding RNA is filed under the name Vitis vinifera (wine grape). Its description in RNAcentral is "long non-coding RNA (VVIN_LNC002139)". The record is from RNAcentral. Lineage: Eukaryota; Viridiplantae; Streptophyta; Magnoliopsida; Vitales; Vitaceae.